AUACAUUCGACGACGAAGAAAGUACGUGUGAACAAGAUUUCACAGCGAGUCGGGGUUGGUGGAAGCCUGAUGAUCAGUUCAUACGGAAACGCACUUCAGAGAAGUUCGGUGAAUCAUAGUAGCCUGAACCGGGAGCUCCCGUUACCAGUUUCGAGUUGGUCUAGAUUCAUAGACAAUGAGAGUGGCACCGCGGAUAUUUAAAUAACAGAUCCGUCUCUUAC
RNAcentral lists this non-coding RNA (221 nucleotides) under Halobacillus sp. Its description in RNAcentral is "T-box sequence". It matches the Rfam family "T-box leader". From Rfam's summary of the family: Uncharged tRNA acts as the effector for transcription antitermination of genes in the T-box leader family. Lineage: Bacteria; Bacillati; Bacillota; Bacilli; Caryophanales; Bacillaceae. The record is from RNAcentral.